UACUCAAGAGGGAGAGAAUAACUUCCUAAGGAUUCGACUUGUAAGAUUUCAGACUAUUUAACAGAAUGAUUUUUCUAAAUCGUGAGAACCUAGAGCUAGAUACAAAGGUUAUAACAUGCAGAGCUCACUUUCACAUUGGACAGUGGAAUGGAACCGUAGGAUCUGAAGCACUCCGGGGUAAACAAAGGUUUGGAAUGAUUUUCCUUUCUUCAUGGUUGGACUAGUUCAUUCAUUCCUGAACUAAUGAAUCAAAGAGGCAACUCCAUCAGCAGAGCCCCAAUACAGAUGUAGAAACAGUGAACCAAUGGAAGCCAAUGGAAAGCAAAUCCACCAGAAAGCAAUGAUGUAAUAAACCACUUAAAGGGAGCUGAUUAAAGAGGCACAACCAACGUGAAGGUUAAUCACAUCAGUGUCAAUAAACCAGGUAAGAAAUAUGAUGAACUGUUUUUCCUUUUAGAAGCAUGUCAAAUUGGCAUCACAGAUGGUGAAAUAAAUAUACAGUAUUUCCAG
Peromyscus leucopus (white-footed mouse) is the source of this 510-nucleotide long non-coding RNA. RefSeq lists it as uncharacterized. The record is from RefSeq and is a predicted model, not a curated record. NCBI's taxonomy places the organism in Eukaryota, Metazoa, Chordata, Mammalia, Rodentia, Cricetidae. The transcript is spliced from 3 exons.